This 903-nucleotide ribosomal RNA is filed under the name Elatonitor suturalis. RNAcentral's name for it is "Malandena suturalis partial 16S ribosomal RNA". Lineage: Eukaryota; Metazoa; Mollusca; Gastropoda; Stylommatophora; Helicarionidae. The record is from RNAcentral.
AAUUAAAUCUGUACUGCAAAGAAAAAUUAACUUCUGAUAAAUUAUAUACCUUUUGCAUAAUGGUUUAAUUAUAAAUAAUUUAAAUUAAUAUUCCCGAAAUUAGUAGAUCUAAUUUUAUUAUUUUAUUAGAAAUAUUCUAUAUAAUGUUUCAAAAUUAUAAAUAUAAUUACAAUUAGUGGUGAAAGGCUUAUCAAUUCUAAUGAUAUCUGGAAUAAUUUAAAAUGUAUUUAGUACAGAAUAAAAGUUGAAUAAAAAAAUGUUAAGAUUUUUUUAUAAAAGAAUAAUAAAUUUUUAAAAAUUAUGAAUUAAUCUUCCAAUACCUUAUAAUAUUAUAUAAUUAUUAAUUUAUAUAUCUUGUAAAUAAAAUUAUAUUAUUAUUAAUUUCUCAAAUAAUUGAUUAUGUUAAAAUUAGUAUAAUACUUAUAUUAUUUUAAAGAACUCGGCUAAUUAUUAUUCAUCUGUUUAUCAAAAACAUAGUCUUAUGAAUUCAUAUAAGGUAUAACCUGCCCAGUGAAUAUAAUUUUAACGGCCGCAGUACUUUGACUGUGCUAAGGUAGCAUAAUAAAUUGACUUUUAAUUGGGGCCUUGAAUGAAUGGAUAAAUGGAUAAUUUCUGUUUCUUAAUAACUUGUUAUAAGUUACUUAAAAGGUGAAAAUUCCUUUAAUAUUAUUAAAUAGACGAGAAGACCCUAGGAGUUUUAAUUUUGUUGGGGCGACAAUAUAGCAAAUAACCUAUAUAUAAUAAUUUCUAAUCUAACGAAUAAUUUUAAUAAUAAUAAACUACCCUAGGGAUAACAGCAUAAUUUAAUUUUAAGUUUGUGACCUCGAUGUUGGACUAGGAACUUUUAAAGCUAACAGCAUUAAUUGGUAGUUCUGUUCGAACUUUUACUACCUACAUGAUCUG